RNAcentral lists this ribosomal RNA (433 nucleotides) under uncultured bacterium. Its description in RNAcentral is "partial 16S ribosomal RNA". It matches the Rfam family "Bacterial small subunit ribosomal RNA", at positions 29 to 507 of the family's 1533-position model. The record is from RNAcentral.
AACGAACGCUGGCGGCAUGCCUAACACAUGCAAGUCGAACGAGACCUUCGGGUCUAGUGGCGCACGGAUGCGUAACGCGUGGGAACCUGCCCUUAGGUUCGGAAUAACUCCCCGAAAGGGGUGCUAAUACCGGAUAAUGUCUUCGGACCAAAGAUUUAUCGCCUUUGGAUGGGCCCGCGUUGGAUUAGCUAGUUGGUAGGGUAAAAGCCUACCAAGGCGACGAUCCAUAGCUGGUCUGAGAGGAUGAUCAGCCACACUGGGACUGAGACACGGCCCAGACUCCUACGGGAGGCAGCAGUGGGGAAUAUUGGACAAUGGGCGAAAGCCUGAUCCAGCAAUGCCGCGUGAGUGAUGAAGGCCUUAGGGUUGUAAAGCUCUUUUACCCGGGAUGAUAAUGACAGUACCGGGAGAAUAAGCUCCGGCUAACUCCGUG